This 1760-nucleotide long non-coding RNA is filed under the name Gallus gallus (chicken). RNAcentral describes it as "lncRNA (ENSGALG00010013887.1)". The record is from RNAcentral. Lineage: Eukaryota; Metazoa; Chordata; Aves; Galliformes; Phasianidae.
CAAAGGAUGUGGAUGGGAGCUGGUUCUGCAGCCUGCUUUUUCAGGGCAAAUUAGUCAUAACCCACAUCCCUAAUUUAUUGGGGAAUAGGUUCAGCUGGCGUUCCUUGCAGCGGACACACAUGACGAGGAGAGCACUGUUACCAUCCAAACACUGUCAGCCUCUGCAUCCUGCAGGCAGCCCAACCCAGCCGCCCUGCUCCUGACAUGGGGCCGUGGGUGGAGGUGCCUGAGGUCUCCCUCCACCACACAGAUUAUUAAUUCUGGCCUUGCCUCAGCUGCAAGUUUCUGCUGCGUCGAAAGGAAUCCUCUGAUAGAAGUGUCAGUUAUCACCCAAGCAAUGCCAGGGGAGAAAGGAAAAGCAGAAAGAGAGGAGAAUAUCUUCUAAUCACAGGCACUCUGCUUUCUGGGCCUUUUUCUUCCUGCCCUCAAGCCUGCGUCUCUGGAGAGAGAGGAUGCCACUAGAAAAUGUCUCUUGGAUUUCUUUGACAGCCACUUGACAGCAGACGGACCCUGUGUUAAGCAGAAGGCUACACUAAUUCCAGCUGAACAUGCUGCUUAAAUUAACUGGGACAGAAACAAAAUCUAUCCAAUUGAGAUUCUGUGUUUCAUCUUGUCCCCAUUCUUUGAAAGGAAGAUGGCCUUUCCACUCUUUGUUAUUGUCCAUGGAUGCAAAACAGAAGGAGGAAAAGAGAGAGGGAGAAUAGAGAUGAAAGUGGGAAUCAGGGUUGGACAUAUCCUUCCCCUCAUCUUGCAUUUGCAGUGUUGUAGGCCUGAUACUUUUAAAGCUCUCUCCCCUUUGUACCUACAUUACUUCGUUUCCCCCUUCCUUACUCAGAAUUGAAUCACCAGACAAUCUUCAGCACAUCCUGAUGAUGGGGAGUAUUUCAGAUGGUUUUUGGCACUGGUUUCAGAGCACGGCAAACUGUUAGCAACAAAACACUUGAAUUCCUUGAUUUUGAAGAUUCAGGCAUCAAAUAUCUGCUAUCAAAGUAGCAGAUAUUAAUCAUGUGCUAUGAUACUUUCAGCAGAAAGCAUACAAAUAUCCCAGUGGUAUCUUCUAAGGAAAGUAUAAGAAGAGUAAAAAGAUAUUUCAGAAGAUUUAGGAUGUAAGGACACAGCAAGAUCCCAACGGAUAAAGAAAAACAGAAAAGUGACAAGUUUUUUAAAGUGAAAAGCAAUCUACUCUUGAAGUCCUGUAAGAUUUAUUUUAUUCAAACAUACCACAUAGCUAUAUUCUUAGAGCUCCCAGCCUUGGCUUCUUGUUCAAGUUGCAGAUGCAGGAUGAGUUCCUUGCAAGUUUCCUGCACUUUCACCAUUUAUAGGCAUUUUUCCGCUAGUUCUCUUGUUUUAAGCAUCUUGAGCUUUGUGCUUUCUGUAACUCAUACUAUCAAUCUGGAUAAAAUUGGUUUAAAAAUAUGAGGCUUAAAAGACCACAUGUGGGCAUAAAUGCAAAAAACAUAAAGCAUAUGAAGUGAACAGCAGAGAUACUCUAGUUAUAGGCACUACUGAGAGCAAUUUUAAGGCAUAGCCAUUACUACCAUUUGGAAAUGGGUAUCUGCUUUGGCAAUUCCCAUUUUGUUAGUUAGAUAUAUGAUCCUGUAUAAUCCUUGAUAAAAGUACCAAUUUUUAUACAAACCACAUUACUGUCUUCAUGGGAGAAGUGGUAUGUAUUCUUAUUGCCUUCAAUUCACUAAACAAAGACUUAAAGAAAUAUAGCAACUUCCUUCUUUCUUCCCUUCAUAGUAGAACACAAUACUGGG